This 73-nucleotide transfer RNA is filed under the name Bacteroidota bacterium. RNAcentral describes it as "Bacteroidetes bacterium (marine metagenome) tRNA-Gly". It matches the Rfam family "tRNA". From Rfam's summary of the family: Transfer RNA (tRNA) molecules are approximately 80 nucleotides in length. Their secondary structure includes four short double-helical elements and three loops (D, anti-codon, and T loops). The record is from RNAcentral. Lineage: Bacteria; Pseudomonadati; Bacteroidota.
GCGGCUGUGACGCAACUGGUAGCGUUCCAGCUUCCCAAGCUGGCUGUUGCGGGUUCGAGCCCCGUCAGCCGCU